UCGGCCUCCCAAAGUGCUGGGAUUACAGGCGUGAGCCACUGUGCCCGGCCAGAAGUGAUUGCUUUCUAAAGGUAGAUUACUGGCCAGAGUUUUUGAGUUACAAGAGCCACUCCAGAGAUUUCUUUUAGAAAAACAGUCACCACUGGCAACACAUUUCAGUGACACAGAAUGGCUCACAAAACUUGCUUACUUAUGUAACAUAUUCAACCUGCUCAAUGAAGUCAAUCUGUUGUCACUUCAAGGGAGAAUGACAACGGUGUUCAAGUCAACAGAUAAAAGUGGCUGCAUUCAAAGCCAAACUAGUAUUAUGAGGGCAAUGCAUAAACAUUGGGAUUUCUGACAUGUUUCAAACAUUAGCAGAAAUCUUGAAACAGACUGAGCCAGGGCCUUCUUUCUCCCAGCUGGUACAUGGAUCACCUAUCUCAGCUUUUUAAAGAAUCUGAGCAUUAAUUCCCAACCAUAAAAAAACCCGAACUGGGAAGAAAUGGAUAGCGACCCACUUGUAAAUUGCCAGGUGAAUCAACUUUGUCCACACUAGAAGAGAAUCAACUGCUUGAGACUGCAAAUGACAGUGGUCUUAAAAGUAUGUUUGAGACAACUUCAAGUCUCCAUACAUUUUGGAUUAGAGUCAAGGCAGAAUAUCCUGAGAUUGCCACAAAAGCACUGAAAAGCCUGCUUCCAUUUCCAACAUCAUAUCUUUGUGAAGCAGGGUUUUCUGCAAUGAUAGCGACCAAAAUGAGAUUACAGAGUAGACUGGACAUAAUCAACAAACUUUGGGUGUCACUGACUCCCAACACUCCCAGAUGAGACCGUCUAGUUGUGGAAAACAAGCUCCGGGCUCCCACUGAUUCUACAUUAUGGUCUGUGGAGAAAUUGUCUUCCUCAAAACCAGACCCUGGUGCCAAAAAGGUUAGGGACUUCUGCUAUACACUCUGAAGUUAUCCUUCAAGAGCGAAAGAGAAAGACUUCCACAGACAAAAAUUGAAGGAUUUUUGUGGCCAGUAUAUCUGCUUUGCAAGAAAUGUUAAAAGCCUUCAGAGAGAAGGGAAAUGACACAGGUCAGAAACUCACAUCUAGACAAAGAAAGCAAGAGCAUCGGAAAAGGAAUAAGUGAAGGUGGAGUAGGAGGGAGCAUAACCUGGCGUGAACUGAAAGUCUAUAAAGAAGGAAGUGCACUUCUCAAGGAAGAGCACCCAAAGGGCAGAAGAAGUAUUGAAGGGAAAUAAAGGCCUCAUCUGCUAGAAGAGAAUCCUUAAGUCCCAAAGAUGCACUAUAGAUGACAGAAUGCACUGUCGUGGCUAGUCCAGUUCAUCACUGGCCUAUAGUACACAAUUAACAAAAAGAGGAUGAGUAGCUAGAACACCCUAGGGAUAUUUAUCAGCCUUGAAAAAAAUCCAAAAGUAUUUCCAACAGCAAAAACAGGUACUGUAAUUAGCAUACUGUAAUAGUAAUUAUGGCAGUGGUUCCUUUCCUGUAUCAUGAUAAGUUGGGUCUUAUUCAUUUGUGCCCUGAUACUCAGCACAGCACCUGACAAUGUUUAUUAACUACUGACUGAUAUGAAAAUUUGGAGAUUUCUACAGAAGGUUACCAUUUUGUUAGCAAUGAUAUGUGUUAACAGUAAGAAAUAUCUACACUUAAAAGAUUAUAGCUCAAAGAUCAGUAUGCA
Molecule: long non-coding RNA, 1666 nt
Filed under: Homo sapiens (human)
Lineage: Eukaryota; Metazoa; Chordata; Mammalia; Primates; Hominidae
Description: HSALNT0336549
Source: RNAcentral